CCUACGGGGGGCAGCAGUCGAGAAUCAUUCACAAUGGGGGAAACCCUGAUGGUGCGACGCCGCGUGGGGGAAUGAAGGUCUUCGGAUUGUAAACCCCUGUCAUGGGGGAGAAAAUUAAAAAGAUAGUACCACAAGAGGAAGAGACGGCUAACUCUGUGCCAGCAGCCGCGGUAAUACAGAGGUGUCAAGCGUUGUUCGGAAUCACUGGGCGUAAAGGGUGCGUAGGCUGUUUCGUAAGUCGUGUGUGAAAGGCGCGGGCUCAACCCGCGGACGGCACAUGAUACUGCGAGACUAGAGUAAUGGAGGGGGAACCGGAAUUCUCGGUGUAGCAGUGAAAUGCGUAGAUAUCGAGAGGAACACUCGUGGCGAAGGCGGGUUCCUGGACAUUAACUGACGCUGAGGCACGAAGGCCAGGGGAGCGAAAGGGAUUAGAUACCCGUGUAGUC
This 446-nucleotide ribosomal RNA is filed under the name uncultured bacterium. Its description in RNAcentral is "partial 16S ribosomal RNA". It matches the Rfam family "Bacterial small subunit ribosomal RNA", at positions 338 to 795 of the family's 1533-position model. The record is from RNAcentral.